GACGAACGCUGGCGGCGUGCUUAACACAUGCAAGUCGAACGGAAAGGCCCUGCUUUUGUGGGGUGCUCGAUUGGCGAACGGGUGAGUAACACGUGAGUAACCUGCCCUUGACUUUGGGAUAACUUCACGAAACUGGGGCUCAUACCGGAUAUGAGCUCCUGCUGCAUGGUGGGGGUUGGAAAGUUUCGGCGGUUGGGGAUGGACUCGCGGCUUAUCAGCUUGUUGGUGGGGUAGUGGCUUACCAAGGCUUUGACGGGUAGCCGGCCUGAGAGGGUGACCGGCCACAUUGGGACUGAGAGACGGCCCAGACUCCUACGGGAGGCAGCAGUGGGGAAUAUUGCAGAAUGGGCGGAAGCCUGAUGCAGCAACGCCGCGUGCGGGAUGACGGCCUUCGGGUGGUAAACCGCUUUCGCCGGUGACGAAGCGUGAGUGACGGUAAUGGGUAAAGAAGCACCGGCUAACUACGUG
Molecule: ribosomal RNA, 468 nt
Filed under: uncultured bacterium
Lineage: Bacteria
Description: partial 16S ribosomal RNA
Rfam family: Bacterial small subunit ribosomal RNA
Source: RNAcentral